AUUCAAAUAGUUUAUUAGAAUAAUAACUUGUGGUGUUAUAGGUAUAUUUAUUAUUUUGGAUA
This 62-nucleotide transfer RNA is filed under the name Ceratocombus japonicus. Its description in RNAcentral is "tRNA-His". The record is from RNAcentral. Lineage: Eukaryota; Metazoa; Arthropoda; Insecta; Hemiptera; Ceratocombidae.